Molecule: ribosomal RNA, 498 nt
Filed under: uncultured bacterium
Lineage: Bacteria
Description: bacterial SSU rRNA
Rfam family: Bacterial small subunit ribosomal RNA
Source: RNAcentral
AUGGCUCAGAGUGAACGCUGGCGGCAGGCCUAAUACAUGCAAGUCGAACGGCAGCACAGCAGAGCUUGCUCUGUGGGUGGCGAGUGGCGGACGGGUGAGGAAUACGUGGGAAUCUGCCCAGUCGUGGGGGAUAACGUAGGGAAACUUACGCUAAUACCGCAUGCGCCCUUCGGGGAAAGCCGGGGACCUUCGGGCCUGGCGCGAUUGGAUGAGCCCACGUCGGAUUAGCUAGUUGGCGGGGUAAAGGCCCACCAAGGCGACGAUCCGUAGCUGGUCUGAGAGGAUGAUCAGCCACACUGGAACUGAGACACGGUCCAGACUCCUACGGGAGGCAGCAGUAGGGAAUAUUGGACAAUGGGCGCAAGCCUGAUCCAGCCAUGCCGCGUGAGUGAAGAAGGCCCUCGGGUUGUAAAGCUCUUUUGUCCGGAAAGAAAAGCGCCGGGUUAAUACCCUGGUGUCCUGACGGUACCGGAAGAAUAAGCACCGGCUAACUUCGUG